RNAcentral lists this ribosomal RNA (1123 nucleotides) under uncultured bacterium. Its description in RNAcentral is "bacterial SSU rRNA". It matches the Rfam family "Bacterial small subunit ribosomal RNA", at positions 47 to 1162 of the family's 1533-position model. The record is from RNAcentral.
AUUGAUUUUAUGCUUGCAUAAAUGAUUUUUGGAUUCGGAGCGAGUGGCGAACUGGUGAGUAACACGUGGGUAACCUGCCCCGAAGCGGGGGAUAACAUUUGGAAACAAAUGCUAAUACCGCAUAAUUAGUCAGAACCGCAUGGUUCCGACUUAAAAGAUGGCUCUGCUAUCACUUCGGGAUGGGCCCGCGCCGUAUUAGUUAGUUGGUGAGAUGAAAGCCCACCAAGACGAUGAUACGUAGCCGACCUGAGAGGGUAAUCGGCCACAUUGGGACUGAGACACGGCCCAGACUCCUACGGGAGGCAGCAGUAGGGAAUCUUCCACAAUGGACGAAAGUCUGAUGGAGCAACGCCGCGUGAGUGAUGAAGGGUUUCGGCUCGUAAAACUCUGUUGUUAAAGAAGAACAAGCAUGAGAGUAACUGUUCAUGCUUUGACGGUAUUUAACCAGAAAGCCACGGCUAACUACGUGCCAGCAGCCGCGGUAAUACGUAGGUGGCAAGCGUUGUCCGGAUUUAUUGGGCGUAAAGCGAGCGCAGGCGGUUUUGUAAGUCUGCUGUGAAAGCCCUCAGCUCAACUGAGGAAGUGCAGUGGAAACUACAAAACUUGAGUACAGAAGAGGAAAGUGGAACUCCAUGUGUAGCGGUGAAAUGCGUAGAUAUAUGGAAGAACACCAGUGGCGAAGGCGGCUUUCUGGUCUGUUACUGACGCUGAGGCUCGAAAGCAUGGGUAGCGAACAGGAUUAGAUACCCUGGUAGUCCAUGCCGUAAACGAUGAAUACUAGGUGUUGGAGGGUUUCCGCCCUUCAGUGCCGCAGCUAACGCAUUAAGUAUUCCGCCUGGGGAGUACGACCGCAAGGUUGAAACUCAAAGGAAUUGACGGGGGCCCGCACAAGUGGUGGAGCAUGUGGUUUAAUUCGAUGCUACGCGAAGAACCUUACCAGCUCUUGACAUCUUCUGCCAACCUAAGAGAUUAGGCGUUCCCUUCGGGGACAGAAUGACAGGUGGUGCAUGGUUGUCGUCAGCUCGUGUCGUGAGAUGUUGGGUUAAGUCCCGCAACGAGCGCAACCCUUAUUAUUAGUUGCCAGCAUUUAGUUGGGCACUCUAGUGAGACUGCCGGUGAUAAA